This 253-nucleotide ribosomal RNA is filed under the name uncultured bacterium. RNAcentral describes it as "partial 16S ribosomal RNA". It matches the Rfam family "Bacterial small subunit ribosomal RNA", at positions 524 to 776 of the family's 1533-position model. The record is from RNAcentral.
UACGGAGGGAGCUAGCGUUGUUCGGAAUUACUGGGCGUAAAGCGCGCGUAGGCGGUUACUCAAGUCAGAGGUGAAAGCCCGGGGCUCAACCCCGGAACUGCCUUUGAAACUAGGUGACUAGAAUCUUGGAGAGGUCAGUGGAAUUCCGAGUGUAGAGGUGAAAUUCGUAGAUAUUCGGAAGAACACCAGUGGCGAAGGCGACUGACUGGACAGGUAUUGACGCUGAGGUGCGAAAGCGUGGGGAGCAAACAGG